RNAcentral lists this ribosomal RNA (253 nucleotides) under uncultured bacterium. RNAcentral's name for it is "partial 16S ribosomal RNA". It matches the Rfam family "Bacterial small subunit ribosomal RNA", at positions 524 to 776 of the family's 1533-position model. The record is from RNAcentral.
UACGGAAGGGGCUAGCGUUGUUCGGAAUUACUGGGCGUAAAGAGCGCGUAGGCGGCUUACCAAGUUGGGGGUGAAAUCCCGGGGCUCAACUCCGGAACUGCCUUCAAAACUGCUAGGCUCGAGUCCGGAAGAGGGGAGUGGAAUUCCGAGUGUAGAGGUGAAAUUCGUAGAUAUUAGGAAGAACACCAGUGGCGAAGGCGGCGCACUGGUCCGGUACUGACGCUGAGGUGCGAAAGCGUGGGGAGCAAACAGG